CCUACGGGAGGCAGCAGUGGGGAAUAUUGCACAAUGGGCGAAAGCCUGAUGCAGCGACGCCGCGUGAGUGAAGAAGUCUUUCGGUAUGUAAAGCUCUAUCAGCAGGGAAGAAAAUGACGGUACCUGACUAAUACUCCCCGGCGACCUCCGUUCCAGCAGCCGCGGGCAUACGGCGGGGGCAAGCGUUAUCCGGAUUUACUGGGUGUAAAGGGAGCUUAGACGGCGAAGCAAGUCGGACGUGAGAACACAGGGCGCAACCCUGGGACUGCUUUGGAAACUGUUUUGCUAGAGUGUCGGAGAGGUAAGAGGAAUUCCUAGUGUAGCGGUGAAAUGCGUAGAUAUUAGGAGGAACACCAGUGGCGAAGGCGGCUUACGGGACGAUAACUGACGUUGAGGCUCGAAAGCGUGGGGAGCAAACAGGAUUAGAUACCCUGGUAGUC
This 440-nucleotide ribosomal RNA is filed under the name uncultured bacterium. RNAcentral describes it as "partial 16S ribosomal RNA". It matches the Rfam family "Bacterial small subunit ribosomal RNA", at positions 338 to 795 of the family's 1533-position model. The record is from RNAcentral.